GAUGAACGCUGGCGGCGUGCCUAAUACAUGCAAGUCGAGCGAACGGACGAGAAGCUUGCUUCUCUGAUGUUAGCGGCGGACGGGUGAGUAACACGUGGAUAACCUACCUAUAAGACUGGGAUAACUUCGGGAAACCGGAGCUAAUGCCGGAUAAUAUUUUGAACCGCAUGGUUCAAAAGUGAAAGACGGCCUUGCUGUCACUUAUAGAUGGAUCCGCGCUGCAUUAGCUAGUUGGUAAGGUAACGGCUUACCAAGGCAACGAUGCAUAGCCGACCUGAGAGGGUGAUCGGCCACACUGGAACUGAGACACGGUCCAGACUCCUACGGGAGGCAGCAGUAGGGAAUCUUCCGCAAUGGGCGAAAGCCUUACGGAGCAACGCCGCGUGAGUGAUGAAGGUCUUCGGAUCGUAAAACUCUGUUAUUAGGGAAGAACAGAUGUGUAAGUAACUGUGCACAUCUUGACGGUACCUAAUCAGAAAGCCACGGCUAACUACGUG
This 497-nucleotide ribosomal RNA is filed under the name uncultured bacterium. Its description in RNAcentral is "partial 16S ribosomal RNA". It matches the Rfam family "Bacterial small subunit ribosomal RNA", at positions 28 to 507 of the family's 1533-position model. The record is from RNAcentral.